GACGAACGCUGGCGGCGUGCCUAAUACAUGCAAGUAGAACGCUGAAGAGAGGAGCUUGCUCUUCUUGGAUGAGUUGCGAACGGGUGAGUAACGCGUAGGUAACCUGCCUGGUAGCGGGGGAUAACUAUUGGAAACGAUAGCUAAUACCGCAUGAAAUGGAUUAUCGCAUGAUAAUUCAUUGAAAGGUGCAAAUGCAUCACUACCAGAUGGACCUGCGUUGUAUUAGCUAGUUGGUGGGGUAACGGCUCACCAAGGCGACGAUACAUAGCCGACCUGAGAGGGUGAUCGGCCACACUGGGACUGAGACACGGCCCAGACUCCUACGGGAGGCAGCAGUAGGGAAUCUUCGGCAAUGGACGGAAGUCUGACCGAGCAACGCCGCGUGAGUGAAGAAGGUUUACGGAUCGUAAAGCUCUGUUGUAAGAGAAGAACGAGUGUGAGAGUGGAAAGUUCACACUGUGACGGUAUCUUACCAGAAAGGCGGCUAA
Molecule: ribosomal RNA, 488 nt
Filed under: Streptococcus sp. oral taxon 071
Lineage: Bacteria; Bacillati; Bacillota; Bacilli; Lactobacillales; Streptococcaceae
Description: bacterial SSU rRNA
Rfam family: Bacterial small subunit ribosomal RNA
Source: RNAcentral